AAUGUACUUCCUCUAUUCAACAAAAGAUGUCUUCAAUUUGUCAAAAUUUAGAUGUAUGUAGACUAGACAUGACUCAAUGUAUAGAUACAUUUAAAUUUAAUUAAAGUUAAGACAUCUUUUGUUGGACGGAGGGAGUAUCUA
Non-coding RNA from Brachypodium distachyon (stiff brome), 141 nucleotides. The record is from Rfam. Lineage: Eukaryota; Viridiplantae; Streptophyta; Magnoliopsida; Poales; Poaceae.